GGAUGUUCAUAACCCUUUGUUGUCCGACUCUGUUGCCUCCGGGGCGACCCUGCCUUCGGGCGGGGGCUCCGGGUGGACACUUCAAACUCUUGCGUAACUUUGCAGUCUGAGUAAACUUAAUUAAUAAAUUAAAACUUUUAACAACGGAUCUCUUGGUUCUGGCAUCGAUGAAGAACGCAGCGAAAUGCGAUAAGUAAUGUGAAUUGCAGAAUUCAGUGAAUCAUCGAAUCUUUGAACGCACAUUGCGCCCCCUGGUAUUCCGGGGGGCAUGCCUGUUCGAGCGUCAUUUCACCACUCAAGCCUCGCUUGGUAUUGGGCAACGCGGUCCGCCGCGUGCCUCAAAUCGACCGGCUGGGUCUUCUGUCCCCUAAGCGUUGUGGAAACUAUUCGCUAAAGGGUGUUCGGGAGGCUACGCCGUAAAACAACCCCAUUUCUAAGGUUGACCUCGGAUCAGGUAGGGAUACCCGCUGAACUUAAGCAUAUCAUA
Molecule: ribosomal RNA, 487 nt
Filed under: Cladosporium tenuissimum
Lineage: Eukaryota; Fungi; Ascomycota; Dothideomycetes; Cladosporiales; Cladosporiaceae
Description: eukaryotic LSU rRNA
Rfam family: 5.8S ribosomal RNA (bases 133-286)
Source: RNAcentral